AGAGUUUGAUCAUGGCUCAGAACGAACGCUGGCGGCAGGCCUAACACAUGCAAGUCGAACGGGCGUAGCAAUACGUCAGUGGCGGACGGGUGAGUAACACGUGGGAAUAUGCCUUUCGGUUCGGAACAACUCGGGGAAACCCGUGCUAAUUCCGGAUACGCCCUUACGGGGAAAGAUUUAUCGCCGAAAGAUUAGCCCGCGUUGGAUUAGCUAGUUGGUGAGGUAAAGGCUCACCAAGGCGACGAUCCAUAGCUGGUUUGAGAGAACGACCAGCCACACUGGGACUGAGACACGGCCCAGACUCCUACGGGAGGCAGCAGUGGGGAAUCUUGGACAAUGGAGGAAACUCUGAUCCAGCCAUGCCGCGUGAGUGAUGAAGGCCUUCGGGUUGUAAAACUCUUUUGGCGGGGACGAUAAUGACGGUACCCGCAGAAUAAGCUCCGGCUAACUUCGUGCCAGCAGCCGCGGUAAUUC
RNAcentral lists this ribosomal RNA (474 nucleotides) under uncultured bacterium. RNAcentral's name for it is "bacterial SSU rRNA". It matches the Rfam family "Bacterial small subunit ribosomal RNA", at positions 8 to 526 of the family's 1533-position model. The record is from RNAcentral.